UAAUAAAGUAACAAGUAAUAACAAAUCAAAUGUGCUAGGGAAUAACAAUAACAUGACAAAUGAGUCGCAAGUUUUCUUCUGAAGACUUGCAUUACACGCAUGAUGGAAAAUGUUGAAUUGUCUUCCUUCCGUUGCAAGAAAAUAUAUAUGAAUCAAAGAUAUUUAGUGAAUAUGUCAGUCAGUCAACUUUGGGUUCAUAAUGAAUAUGGCAAAGGCAACCCACAUCAACUGAUCUUACAACUUGGCAGAUAAUCAACCACGUUAUACAUAGGGUAAAUAUUAAGGACUUAAGGUAAAUAGUCUAAAGGACCUCUUUAAACUAGACUUGUAAAUGGACCAGAUCGACCUAGAUCUAGAUCUGGAUCCGUUACCUGUCGGAUCAUAGAUAGCUCUAUCUAAAUCUGGAUCCGGCGGGUUAACGGAUACCCGAUCCGUUAAUCCGAUCCGUUUAUAAUAAUAAAUAUUUUUAAAUUUUAAAUAAUAAUUUCUUAAUUUUAUCAUUAAAUUUUCAUAAAACACUAAUGAAAUAUUAUAACAAAAUAAAAGUUUACAUCAAAAGUUGAAUUACAUGGCCAAAAUACUCUUUAACAAUAAACUACUAUCAUCAAAAUAUAAGACCUCCAAUGUUUUUAGCAAAGAGCAUAAAAAGAACAUAAGCAUAAGUAACCCUUCAACUUUAUCAAAUCAUAUACUAGACCUGUAAAUGGACCAGAUCGACCCUUCAACUUCAUCAAAUCAUAUACAUAGGGUAAAUAUUAAGGACUUAAGGUAAAUGAGUCCAAAGGACCUCUUUAAACUAGACUUGUAAAUGGACUAGAUCGACCUAGAUCUGGAUCCAUUACCUGCCGGAUCAUAGAUAGCUUUAUCUAAAUCCGGAUCUGGCGGGUUAACGGAUACCCGACCCGUUAAUCCGAUCCGUUUAUAAUAAUAAAUAUUUUUAAAUUUUAAAUAAUAAUUUCUUAAUUUUAUCAUUAAAUUUUCAUAAAACACUAAGGAAAUAAUAUAACAAAAUAAAAGUUUACAUCAAAAGUUGAAUUACAUGGCCAAAAUACUCCUUAACAAUAAACUACUAUCAUCAAAAUAUAAGACCUCCAAUGUUUUUAGCAAAGAGCAUAAAAAGAACAUAAGCAUAAGUAACCCUUCAACUUCAUCAAAUCAUAUACUUUAAACGCAAUUUAGACGUACACUUAGGUUAUCUAAAUAAUUAUUAUAUUAUUUAAUAUUUAUCAGUAAUAUUAUAUUUAUAAAAAUAUUAUUUAAACGGAUCCGGGUCCUUAACGGAUCAGAUCAACCUCGAUCCGUAUCUGAUCUGUUUAAUAAACUGGUUAACGGAUCAACGGGUCAAAUUUUUGAUCCAAACCCGUUUAAAAACUAUGGAUCCGGUCCAUUUACAAGUCUACUUUAAACUCUUAAGUGAGAAUGUUUUUAGUUAUAACAUGUAUUUGACAAUCAAAGUCACUCAUUUCCUAGUUACCUACCCACAUAUGAAUCAUACAAAAAAUUAGCCAAGAAUUAGUAUAAUCCUAAUUGAGAAUCAUUGUUUGGAUUUUAUGAUAUAGAGUUUUAAAAUGACAAGAAUUAAUAUUUAAACUAACCUCAAUUGAUGAAAUUCACAAAUGACGUUUGUUUUGUGAGGAAUUCAAGUCGAGAAUUUAAGCUCCCAAAUUCCAUUAUUAUUUUCCUCUUAGAAAUUACAAAUUUCACGGGAUAAGAAUCCAAGCUCCAAAAAUUGCUCUGGAGUUAUUCUA
Molecule: long non-coding RNA, 1748 nt
Filed under: Fragaria vesca (wild strawberry)
Lineage: Eukaryota; Viridiplantae; Streptophyta; Magnoliopsida; Rosales; Rosaceae
Description: long non-coding RNA (FVES_LNC003548)
Source: RNAcentral